CAGCAGCCACGGGAAUACGGAGGGGGCAAGCGUUAUCCGGAAUUAUUGGGCGUAAAGGGUACGUAGGUGGCCUUUUAAGCGUAGGGUAUAAGGCAAUGGCUCAACCAUUGUUCGCCCUAUGAACUGGAAGGCUUGAGUGCAGGAGAGGAAAGCGGAAUUCCUAGUGUAGCGGUGGAAUGCAUAGAUAUUAGGAGGAACAUCAGCGGCGAAGGCGGCUUUCUGGACUGCAACUGACACUGAGGUACGAAAGCGUGGGGAGCAAACAGGAUUAGAUACCCGAGUAGUCCCUGUCUCUUAUACA
RNAcentral lists this ribosomal RNA (301 nucleotides) under uncultured bacterium. Its description in RNAcentral is "partial 16S ribosomal RNA". It matches the Rfam family "Bacterial small subunit ribosomal RNA", at positions 509 to 808 of the family's 1533-position model. The record is from RNAcentral.